RNAcentral lists this unclassified non-coding RNA (255 nucleotides) under fungal sp. RNAcentral describes it as "partial internal transcribed spacer region". The stretch from base 1 to 46 matches the Rfam family "Eukaryotic small subunit ribosomal RNA", at positions 1786 to 1831 of the family's 1831-position model. Lineage: Eukaryota; Fungi. The record is from RNAcentral.
AAGUCGUAACAAGGUUUCCGUAGGUGAACCUGCGGAAGGAUCAUUAACGAGUUGAACGGGGUUGUAGCUGGCCUUCACAGGCAUGUGCACACCUCACUCAUCCACUCUACACCUGUGCACUUACUGUGGGUUUCGAGAGGCCGCGCUUGCGUGGUUGAUCGGGCUCACGUCUAUUACAAACUCUUCAGUAUCAGAAUGUGUAUCGCGAUGUAACGCAUCUAUAUACAACUUUCAGCAACGGAUCUCUUGGCUCUC